AGUUGAUUAUGGCUCAGGAUGAACGCUAGCUACACGGCUUAACACAUGCAAGUCGGAGGGGCAGCGAGAAGAAAGCUGCUUCUUGUCGGCGACCGGCGCGACGGGUGAGUAACGCGUAUCCAACCUUCCCCUUAGUAGGGCAUAGCCCGGCGAAAGUCGGAUUAAUACCCUAUGUUAUUCGUAGAGGACAUCUGAAAUGAAUCAAAGAUUUAUCGCUAGGGGAUGGGGGAUGCGUCUGAUUAGGUUGUUGGCGGGGUAACGGCCCACCAAGCCAUCGAUCAGUAGGGGUUCUGAGAGGAAGGUCCCCCACAUUGGAACUGAGACACGGUCCAAACUCCUACGGGAGGCAGCAGUGAGGAAUAUUGGUCAAUGGACGAGAGUCUGAACCAGCCAAGUAGCGUGCAGGAUGACGGCCCUAUGGGUUGUAAACUGCUUUUAUAUAGGGAUAAAGUUCACCACGUGUGGUGUUUUGUAGGUACUAUAUGAAUAAGGACCGGCUAAUUCCGUGCCAGCCGCCGC
This 519-nucleotide ribosomal RNA is filed under the name uncultured bacterium. Its description in RNAcentral is "bacterial SSU rRNA". It matches the Rfam family "Bacterial small subunit ribosomal RNA", at positions 10 to 518 of the family's 1533-position model. The record is from RNAcentral.